UACAGAGGGUGCGAGCGUUAAUCGGAAUUACUGGGCGUAAAGCGCGCGUAGGUGGUUUGUUAAGUUGAAUGUGAAAUCCCCGGGCUCAACCUGGGAACUGCAUCCAAAACUGGCAAGCUAGAGUAGGGCAGAGGGUGGUGGAAUUUCCUGUGUAGCGGUGAAAUGCGUAGAUAUAGGAAGGAACACCAGUGGCGAAGGCGACCACCUGGGCUCAUACUGACACUGAGGUGCGAAAGCGUGGGGAGCAAACAGG
Molecule: ribosomal RNA, 253 nt
Filed under: uncultured bacterium
Lineage: Bacteria
Description: partial 16S ribosomal RNA
Rfam family: Bacterial small subunit ribosomal RNA
Source: RNAcentral